This 500-nucleotide ribosomal RNA is filed under the name uncultured Glomeromycotina. RNAcentral describes it as "partial small subunit ribosomal RNA". It matches the Rfam family "Eukaryotic small subunit ribosomal RNA", at positions 591 to 1092 of the family's 1831-position model. Lineage: Eukaryota; Fungi; Glomeromycota. The record is from RNAcentral.
CAAAUAGCGUAUAUUAAAGUUGUUGCAGUUAAAAAGCUCGUAGUUGAAUUUCGGGGUUAGUAGGUUGGUCAUGCCUCUGGUAUGUACUGGUCUCACUGAUUCCUCCUUCCUGAUGAACCGUAAUGCCAUUAAUUUGGUGUUGCGGGGAAUUUGGACUGUUACUUUGAAAAAAUUAGAGUGUUUAAAGCAGGCUAACGCUUGAAUACAUUAGCAUGGAAUAAUGAAAUAGGACGUUCGAUCCUAUUUUGUUGGUUUCUAGGAUUGACGUAAUGAUUAAUAGGGAUAGUUGGGGGCAUUAGUAUUCAAUUGUCAGAGGUGAAAUUCUUGGAUUUAUUGAAGACUAACUACUGCGAAAGCAUUUGCCAAGGAUGUUUUCAUUAAUCAAGAACGAAAGUUAGGGGAUCGAAGACGAUCAGAUACCGUCGUAGUCUUAACCAUAAACUAUGCCGACUAGGGAUCGGAUGAUGUUAAUUUUUUAAUGACUCAUUCGGCGCCUUACG